Molecule: ribosomal RNA, 301 nt
Filed under: uncultured bacterium
Lineage: Bacteria
Description: partial 16S ribosomal RNA
Rfam family: Bacterial small subunit ribosomal RNA
Source: RNAcentral
CAGCCGCCGCGGUAAUACGGAGGGAGCUAGCGUUGUUCGGAAUUACUGGGCGUAAAGCGCGCGUAGGCGGUUACUCAAGUCAGAGGUGAAGGCCCGGGGCUCAACCCCGGAACUGCCUUUGAAACUAGGUGACUAGAAUCUUGGAGAGGUCAGUGGAAUUCCGAGUGUAGAGGUGAAAUUCGUAGAUAUUCGGAAGAACACCAGUGGCGAAGGCGACUGACUGGACAAGUAUUGACGCUGAGGUGCGAAAGCGUGGGGAGCAAACAGGAUUAGAGACCCCCGUAGUCCCUGUCUCUUAUAC